This 1582-nucleotide long non-coding RNA is filed under the name Mus musculus (house mouse). RNAcentral describes it as "RIKEN cDNA 4933408N05 gene (4933408N05Rik)". Lineage: Eukaryota; Metazoa; Chordata; Mammalia; Rodentia; Muridae. The record is from RNAcentral.
AUGGUAUCAAGACCAAACAAACCUUAAUAUAUAGGGAAUCCAAGGGUACAGUCGAAGGAGACACUGUCUUCCAGCAACUGGGCGAUGUGUUGGCAGAGCCUUGUCAGAUUGAACACUGGUCCUAAACUGGGAUUCAUAGGUGGUCAGAGCAGACUUCGUGUAAAAGCGUGGCUGGUGGAUAAUAGAGCUGGUGGCCCUCUAGAGCCACGAGGAAGAGAACAGGUUUGGGAAAUUUCGCACAGCCAAGAGUUUGGUAGGAAUUGUUAGGAAGUCAGGCAGCAAUUCCUCCAGAUUAAUAAGAAGCGAGCCUUAGCUACUCUAAGCAGUGUUAACAGCUGUUUGUGGGGCCUAGAGAGAUUGCUUAGCAAUGAAGAGUGCUUGCUGAAUUUGCAAAGCAUCUGAAUUUGGUUCCUCACUCCAGCAUCCAGUAGCUAACAACUAGCUCCAGCUCCGGCUCCAGCGGCUGCCUCUGAGGGCGUAUAUGUAUAUGUAUAUGUAUAUGUAUAUGUAUAUGUAUAUGUAUAUAUACAUACAUAUAUAUGUAUAUAUACACACACAUACAUACACACACAUAUAUAUGUAUAUAUAUACAUAUAUAUACACAUAUAUAUACAUAUAUAUAUAUAUACAUAUAUAUAUACAUAUAUAUAUACAUAUAUAUAUAUGGUCUAUGUUUUCAGAAAGUAUAGAGACAAAGGUUCUUGGGGGAAAGUGCUCUUGUGUGUGUGUGUGCGAGAUGUGUCUGUGUAACAGGGUUCUGUGUUGCUCAAACUGACAUUGUACUUGCAUUAUUGAGUGCCUGGUGUGGUGGUUUGAAUAGGAAUGCCCCCCCCCCCCGACUUGUGGAUUUUAAAACCUGGUCACCAGGGCAUGCCACCAUUUGAAAGGAUUAGGAGAUGUUGGAGGAAGUGUGUCAAUGGAGGUAGGUUCUGAGGGCUCAAGGACCCAAGUUAGGCCCAGCAUCUUUUUCUUCCUACUGCCUGUGGAUCUGGCUGUAGAACUCUGAGGGUCUUCUCUAGCACCACGGCUGCUUAUAUGUCACCACGCUACCUCCUAUGACCACAAUGGACUACACCUCUGAAACUCUUGCCUUGUGGGACUGAGCAACUGCUAGAUCCUUGGACUUCCAUUCACAGCUGCUGCUGACCAUUGUUGGGAGUUGGACUACAGACUAGAUGCUACACACUGAGUGAAUCACUUUGCUGGUUUCAGGAGAGAUCCCAGCCAAGAGGAGUGAAUACCACUCACAGGGGCAAAGGCAAGUGACCUGCUUGGAGAAACAGUCCACCUGCCCCGAGGAGAGCCGAACACCUUCACACCUUUUUCCUCUUCAUCCAAAGACUAAAAACUAGAUCCAGUCCCUCCCAAAGGCAAAGGAAGAUGGAAGACUAUCAAGUGGAUGAAGUUUCCCAGCCUGCAAACUCAUCAUAGCCUUGGCCUAGCAUCUUACCCAUCCUCCCUCCUCCAUCAUCUGAUGUAGGACUUGCUAUAAAUUGAUGCCUCCUACCUGUCAAUGCAAGAGAAGAUAGCACCCAGUGAAGCACCUUUCUGUUUUAGUUUGACAAUAAAUCUAUUCUGUCUC